Molecule: long non-coding RNA, 1218 nt
Filed under: Callithrix jacchus (white-tufted-ear marmoset)
Lineage: Eukaryota; Metazoa; Chordata; Mammalia; Primates; Cebidae
Description: lncRNA (ENSCJAG00000075239.1)
Source: RNAcentral
AUGAGCCCACGAUCUCAGCUGGGUGAUUUGCACGUUUACAAUCUCAAGCUCAUGCAUUUGGUAAGGAGUCCUUCAUGUGUGCCCCAAACGAUCACUGCCAUACACAAGCACCGAUCACACACAUGCCCAUGCGUACACUCAUACAUAUGCAUGCACACAUACACACCUACACAUGCAUGCAUACACAUACACACAUACAAACACACGUACACAUACACACCUACACAUGCAUGCAUACACAUACACACAUACAAACACGUACACAUACACACCUACACAUGCAUGCAUACACAUACACACAUACAAACACACGUACACAUACACACCUACACAUGCAUGCACACACAUACACACAUACAAACACACGUACACAUACACACCUACACAUGCAUGCAUACACAUACACACAUACAAACACACAUACACAUAUACACACACACAUGCAUGCACACACAUGCAAUAUGCACAUGUGUACACAUAUACGUAUGUGCGUACAUACACAUGCAUGUACACACAUGCACGUGCAUAUACACAUACAAAUGCAUGCGCACACGUGCACAUGUGUACACACGUGCAUGCACACCUGCACACACACUUAUACACACAUGCACUCUCACUUGCACACACAUGCACACACGCAUGCCUGUACAAAGUCACACAUAUAAACAUACAUAUGCACUCUCACUUGUACACAAGUGCCUGCACACACAUGAACACAAUCACUUGCACACACAUACACACAUAUGCACGUACACAUAUACACACAUGCAUACACACAUACACAUGCAUGUACAUACAUACACAUGCACGCAACAUGUACGUGUGCAUAUACAUAUGCAGGCACAUAUACACAUGCAUGUACACGUGCACAUGCAUAAACAUACAUGCACACACGCAUACCCCAUGUACACACAUAUGCACACAUGCACACACAUAUAUGCACACGCAUGCAUACAUAUGCCUGCAGGCACGCACACAUGUACACACAUGCACGCACACACCACAUAUACAUAUGCACUCACUUGCACACCAGCACACAUGCAAAUACACACAUGCACUCGCGCUUGUACACACAUACACGAUGCACACAUGCAUGCUUGCACAGAGGCACACUAUAAACACAUAUGCACUCACUCGUACACGAGUGCUUGCACACACAUGAACACACACAUACGCACAUGCAUACACCAUGCAUGUUUAACACAAGACCUUCUUUAG